Non-coding RNA from Gorilla gorilla gorilla (western lowland gorilla), 217 nucleotides. It matches the Rfam family "Metazoan signal recognition particle RNA". From Rfam's summary of the family: The signal recognition particle (SRP) is a universally conserved ribonucleoprotein. NCBI's taxonomy places the organism in Eukaryota, Metazoa, Chordata, Mammalia, Primates, Hominidae. The record is from Rfam.
GCUGGGCAUGGUGGCUCUUGCCUGUAAUCCCAGCACUGUGGGAGGCUGAGGUCGGUGGAUCACUUGAGGUCAGGAGUUUGAGACCAGCCUGGCCAACAAGGCGAAACCCCGUCUCUACUAAAAAUANNNNNNNNNNUAUUUUUAGUAGAGACGGGGUUUCGCCUUGUUGGCCAGGCUGGUCUCAAACUCCUGACCUCAAGUGAUCCACCGACCUCAG